Long non-coding RNA from Mustela lutreola (European mink), 647 nucleotides. RefSeq lists it as uncharacterized. The record is from RefSeq and is a predicted model, not a curated record. The transcript has 2 exons. Lineage: Eukaryota; Metazoa; Chordata; Mammalia; Carnivora; Mustelidae.
AGCGCUCUUCUUCCAGAUCUUCAUCCUCUGCACCUGGAAGGCCGACUCCAAAUUUCCUCGUGUUUGUGAAGUCACUUUGUACAAUCCAGUGCGGAGCAUCCCUGGCCUCCUGCAGAUUAUUCCCUCACCUUUUACUUGGUGUUUACUGAGGCCUGCAGCUUCCAGGCACCACUCAAGUUUCUGCUGGAGAUAAAGCAUGAAGAAAACGAAAGGUCUCCAUUCAUCAAGCUUCAUCGCAGUGCAAAUCGCAAUCAAGUCUCAAGUUCUGCCAUAGUGAGUGAAUCUGGAUCAGGUCUGUAAAGGAGCACAAUUGGAGAGAAAGAUUGGAGAAGAAGUUAGAAAGAUUCAGAGCCUGAGGUGGGGGAGCUGGAGUUGGUUCCUCCUACAGAGAGAAGCCACCAGAGGCCUGGAGGGAGAGUAACAUAUUUACGGUUUAUUAAAAGUUGGGGCACCUGAGUGGCUCAGUCAGUUAAGUGUUUGCCUUCGACUCAGGAUCCUGGGAUUCUGGGAUCCAGCACAUUGGGGUCCCUGCUCCGCGGGGAGUCUGCUUCUCCCUCUCCCUCUGCAGCUGCCCCUGCUUGUGCGCUCUCGAACUCUCUCUCUCUGUCAAAUAAAUAAACAAAAUCUUUAAAAAUAAAACAAAACAA